GAAGGUGUGGCACAAUGGCAGAGUUCUUGCCUGGCAUGCACAAGGCCCUGGGUUCAAUCCCCAGCACUGUAA
This 72-nucleotide transfer RNA is filed under the name Ictidomys tridecemlineatus (thirteen-lined ground squirrel). RNAcentral describes it as "Spermophilus tridecemlineatus (thirteen-lined ground squirrel) tRNA". It matches the Rfam family "tRNA". Rfam says of the family: Transfer RNA (tRNA) molecules are approximately 80 nucleotides in length. Their secondary structure includes four short double-helical elements and three loops (D, anti-codon, and T loops). Lineage: Eukaryota; Metazoa; Chordata; Mammalia; Rodentia; Sciuridae. The record is from Rfam by way of RNAcentral.